GACGAACGCUGGCGGCGUGCUUAACACAUGCAAGUCGAGCGGUAAGGCCCUUUCGGGGGUACACGAGCGGCGAACGGGUGAGUAACACGUGGGUGACCUGCCCUCAGCUCUGGGAUAAGCCUGGGAAACCGGGUCUAAUACUGGAUAUGACUCCAUGACGCAUGUUGUGGGGUGGAAAGCCUUGUGCGGCUGAGGAUGGGCCCGCGGCCUAUCAGCUUGUUGGUGGGGUGANGGCCUACCCAAGGCGACGACGGGUAGCCGGCCUGAGAGGGCGACCGGCCACACUGGGACUGAGACACGGCCCAGACUCCUACGGGAGGCAGCAGUGGGGAAUAUUGGACAAUGGGGGAAA
Molecule: ribosomal RNA, 352 nt
Filed under: uncultured bacterium
Lineage: Bacteria
Description: bacterial SSU rRNA
Rfam family: Bacterial small subunit ribosomal RNA
Source: RNAcentral